CGGGUGCGGGGCUCAGCGAGGGACUCCCGGUUCCAUAGAGAUCUGGGGAGGGUGGAGGCAGCCUGCCGGGACCCCCCUGGCUCCUCGCUCCCAAGGAGUCGAGGGGAACGUCUCUACCGCGCUGCAAAGCCAGCAGUCCUAGAAAUGCUGCGAAAAGGGCUUCUGGAGUGGGACGGCCCUCGUUUGCAUUAUGUCCCCCGCUUCUUCUUAGGUAAGCGCCCUUAGUUAAAUCAUUUAGCCGUUCUAAGUUGCAGUCUUCCACGUCGGCAUAACGAAGAUAAAACUAUCUGCUUCAUAGGGUCCCUGUGACGACAAAAUGGGUACGGUGAAACGUCCUAAAGUGGUGGUGGGGUGCUAUUAGCUGUUGGAAUUAAUUUUUCAUUCUGAAUUGAGGACCUGUAAAAAGGCCUCGGCUUGGGGACACGGUUUGGGCAUCCCACAGACGCCCCUUGAGGCUUGCUUGACAGCCCGCCUGGACUCGCUC
This 484-nucleotide long non-coding RNA is filed under the name Pan troglodytes (chimpanzee). RNAcentral's name for it is "long non-coding RNA NONPTRT003603". Lineage: Eukaryota; Metazoa; Chordata; Mammalia; Primates; Hominidae. The record is from RNAcentral.